CUUUGCAACAUGGCUAUUUCGGCAAUAUUCUUUUUUAUUCGCACGGCCUUGGCACGGCUGCGGGCGGCGACCGCCAUAGCUGACUCAGAACUGGGCGCGAAUUGGCGCCAUUUUCAAUCUCUCCCAGGUUUCGGGUUGGGCUCUUGGUCGGUCCGGUUGCCUAAUUGUACCUGUCUCAUAAACUUCGAUAAAUCAACACGCAGGUAAAAAACCGAAAGAGGUGAAUCCAAGUACUUUAUUUAGGACGUUUAGAUACGAUGAAAAAGGCAUACAAGUAUCUGAUGAAAAAUUGGAUGAAUGACAUCUAAAGGGGAAUUUAUAUUCAAAUGUGUCAGGAGCGUUUUAAGCCAGAAGUCUACCUACUAUGCUCUUAAGAAUGUUAAUUUUGUAUAAAUUGGAAAUAAUUUAUAAGCCAAUGGUGGCGAUAGAUUUGUUUUUCCUUCUACCAUAAUUUAAGUUCAGUCAGUUUCCCUCUUUCGUCGUUUUUUUAACACAUUAUAUUUGACUUCUGAAAAAAGAAACAAUAGUUUUAUUCAACGUAGUAAGUACAAAAACAAGUGAAUCUCAUUUUGCGAAUUGCAGUGUUGUGAAGAUUGUGCAAAGUCUGUUUAAAAUAAAUGAGCUAAAAGCAACCAUUGAUCAUUAGCCAUUCCUGCGUGUGCGCAAUCAGAAACUCUGAUUGAAUUUUCACUUAAGUACAUUGUUUUCAUGAAUCAAAAUACAUCGCAAAAUCCGCGCUGGUUGCAUAGCACCGUUGCCACAUGGUAUUAGCAACUUCUUGAAAAUUUCAGUCUAAUGGAGAUGUUGCAUGUGUGAGGGAUUUGCGAUUUGACUAUUGAUUCCUACGUAAAAGUUCGCAAGAAACACGAUGGUGCCACUGGUUUUCUCUGAAAUCAACUCCCAAGCUCAAAAAAAGCUCUCAAAGUGAGGCCAAAAUGGAGGGGAUAUCCCGCCCUACCCUGAGAGUCCACCUUUACAUCAUUACAAACUCUCCAUGCAAAGAUAGGGAGCAAAUACAAUAGCAGGGUUGCCACUUUAUUUGGGGACUCUAAAAUUGAAAACACGGCAACCCUGCUAAUGCAUUUGCUCCCUAUCUUUGCAUGGAGAGUUUGUCUUGAUGUAGAGGUGGACUCUCAGAGUAGGGCGGGAUAUCCCCUUCAUUUUGGCCUCACUUUGAGAGCUUUUUUUGAGCUUGGGAGUUGAUUUCAGAGAAAACCAGUGGCACCAUCGUGUUUCUCGCGAACUUUUACAUAAGAAACAACAGUCAAAUCGCAAAUCCCUCACACAUGCAACAUCACCAUUAUAGUUACUCAUUCUUUUAUCUUAACCUU
Molecule: long non-coding RNA, 1331 nt
Filed under: Bemisia tabaci
Lineage: Eukaryota; Metazoa; Arthropoda; Insecta; Hemiptera; Aleyrodidae
Description: lncRNA ENSSSA1UGG010722
Source: RNAcentral